AGUGCUAAGUGUUAGGGGGUUUCCGCCCCUUAGUGCUGCAGCUAACGCAUUAAGCACUCCGCCUGGGGAGUACGGUCGCAAGACUGAAACUCAAAGGAAUUGACGGGGGCCCGCACAAGCGGUGGAGCAUGUGGUUUAAUUCGAAGCAACGCGAAGAACCUUACCAGGUCUUGACAUCCCAUUGACCACUGUAGAGAUACAGUUUUCCCUUCGGGGACAACGGUGACAGGUGGUGCAUGGCUGUCGUCAG
RNAcentral lists this ribosomal RNA (250 nucleotides) under uncultured bacterium. RNAcentral describes it as "partial 16S ribosomal RNA". It matches the Rfam family "Bacterial small subunit ribosomal RNA", at positions 812 to 1058 of the family's 1533-position model. The record is from RNAcentral.